CUGGAGACAGCUUUUCAAAGUCAUGUGACUAGACCAUGUGACUUCCACUUAAAACUCCUCAGUAGUCCCAGUAGCUUAGGAUAAAGACGCGAAUCUUCGACGGGCCUCCUGGGUCCACACAGCUGGCUUCUCCCAACUCAACCUCCCUCCACCACGUGGCUUUCUCUCUGCUGAGAUGGCCACGGCAUCUCCUUGCUCCACCUGAGCCAGCUUCCUGGCUCCCUUCUGCAAGGAGCCACUGAUAUCACGGCACCGAUGGCGGAUGACAAAGGGCCUCGUAGGGUGCUCGGAACCUAGCGGAUCCUCAGACGAGAGGGACCCCCAGGGAGUGGACCUUCCUGACCCUUGCUGAUGGCCGCCUCCAGAGGAGGGAUGCAAAACCCAGCCUGGCUCCCCUGAGAACCGAGUUCUGCCAGACACCAACGCUCACGCCUUCCUUCCAUCGCCUGGUGAAGAAACUCUGGUUUUUAUCUUAGAGCAAUGGAGUCGGAACCGGGAUGUGGCUGCCCAGAAAGUCUCUGUGCCCCGCCCACCUUGUUGCUUCCAUUUUGAGGUCUGAAGACGUUUGGGAUGCCUGCUCCACACUCUCCUCCCCUGCCAUUUGGCUGCUACCCAGAGGAGGAGAAUGAGGAGGGAAAAAAAGAAAAAGAAAAGAACGAAUCCUUGUUAAAUGAAGUAAGAGCUGGAAGAGGAGAGAAAUGGAUCCUGUUCGAUGAGGCGGGAGCUGGAGAGGAGUGAAUUACUCUGCUGAGCAGACAGAGAAGAGUUUCAAGUUUUCGCAGCAGCUCAGGAGGAAAGGGAGAGAAGGACGCGAGGAUGCAGAUGAGUGGGGAAGAGGAAUCAGCAGAAAUUCUCCAGGGCGGGAAGAUGGAGGGGCGGGAGGAGGGCAUCUGGAAGGAUCUUCUCUGUUCCAAUCAGCACUUCCAUCUUGAGUAAA
This 937-nucleotide long non-coding RNA is filed under the name Equus asinus (donkey). Its description in RNAcentral is "lncRNA (ENSEASG00005036676.1)". The record is from RNAcentral. Lineage: Eukaryota; Metazoa; Chordata; Mammalia; Perissodactyla; Equidae.